RNAcentral lists this ribosomal RNA (681 nucleotides) under uncultured Cryptomonas. RNAcentral's name for it is "SSU rRNA". It matches the Rfam family "Eukaryotic small subunit ribosomal RNA", at positions 626 to 1318 of the family's 1831-position model. Lineage: Eukaryota; Cryptophyceae; Cryptomonadales; Cryptomonadaceae. The record is from RNAcentral.
GCUCGUAGUCGGAUUUUGGGCGCGUGUGAACUGUCAGCCUCUGGUUGGACGGUGCGCGCGUGCCUUUCUGCUUGGGAGCCCCAUGGUGGUUAAUUCUGCCGUGGUGGGUCACAGGCCGUUUACUUUGAAAAAAUUAGAGUGUUCAAAGCAGGCUGUUGCUUGAAUAGAUUAGCAUGGAAUAAUGGAAUAGGACCUUGGUGCUAUUUCGUUGGUUAUGGGACUGGGGUAAUGAUUAAUAGGGACAGUUGGGGCCGUUCAUAUUUCGUUGUCAGAGGUGAAAUUCUUGGAUUUACGAACGAUGAACUUGUGCGAAAGCAUUCGGCAAGGAUGUUUUCAUUGAUCAAGAACGAAAGUUAGGGGAUCGAAGACGAUUAGAUACCGUCGUAGUCUUAACCAUAAACUAUGCCAACUAGGGAUCAUUGAGUGUCAAUUUACGACCUCAUUGGCACCUUGUGAGAAAUCAAAGUUUUUGGGUUCCGGGGGGAGUAUGGUCGCAAGGCUGAAACUUAAAGGAAUUGACGGAAGGGCACCACCAGGAGUGGAGCCUGCGGCUUAAUUUGACUCAACACGGGGAAACUUACCAGGUCCAGACAUAGUCAGGAUGGACAGAUUGAAAGCUCUUUCUUGAUUCUAUGGGUGGUGGUGCAUGGCCGUUCUUAGUUGGUGGAGUGAUUUGUCUGG